UUGAGCGCUCCAAAGACAGCAGGUGGCUUCGGCCGUAAAUCCUGCCGAGGACAUCAACAACAUCUCUAUGAAAUUGAUUGUUUUUGUGCCCUUUCGUCUUUUGGCGGAAGGGUUUUCUUUAU
Molecule: small RNA, 122 nt
Filed under: bovine gut metagenome
Description: Ribosomal protein L10 leader
Rfam family: Ribosomal protein L10 leader
About the family: This family is a putative r-protein leader autoregulatory structure found in B. subtilis and other low-GC Gram-positive bacteria. It is located in the 5' untranslated regions of mRNAs encoding ribosomal proteins L10 and L12 (rplJ-rplL).
Source: RNAcentral